CCCAGACUUAAAUGGGUUAUACCGGAAGUUUUGAAACUGCAGAACAAGUCACGCCACGUUUUUAGCUCCCAUUUACGUUGUAAAACUACUUCCCAUGUCCAACACUCUUUCGAUUCAAAAUUCAAAUUUUUCUUAAACCUAAUCAGCAUAACUGUAAUCAUAUGUCUUCAACGGAGGCUAAAGGCCAAUCUACUCUUUGAGCCUCUUCAGUUCGAGGGGUUAGAUGUGGUACCUUUAUGAAGGGGAUUGUUUUGAAUCGGGGAAAGAUGAAGGCCUGUUUUUUGCGGAAAUUUCGAGGUCGAAAUUCGCCAAUCGGACCUGGAGCGUUUGUUUUCCAAGUACGGGAGAGUAAAGCGCGUCGACAUGAAAUCUGAGGCAUGGUGGCCCUUGGUUCCCUUAAUUAUGAAUUUGCUGGUUUUUGCUGGGAGAUUGAAUGAGAGGGAGCUGGGAGGUUGUGCUCUUACUCUGAGAUGUCAGUAAAUAGUUUGUUGAGUUUUUAAAUCAAACUAUUUCCAGAUGCACUCUCAACACCAAAUGCAAUUCUCUCAGCCAAUGGGAUCACAACAAUUUCAGAGUAGGCAGCUACCUUCUGGAUCUAUGCAACAUGGCCUCGGGCAAAGCCAACUUAACGAGGAAAUCAGUUGAAUCAAUUCUCUAGCCUUGCCACCAGUGCUUUAUUCAGUGCUGCUUAGUCUACUCCAAAUAGUCAGAUGGUGAAAGAGAGGAAAUUAUUGAUGAUGGCAAUUUUGGCCUCAUCAUGUUCAUUGAGUUGACGCAGCUAGAUCUGGUCGAUUUGUCAAAAUUACUAAAAUGGUAUAGCCAGAGUGGAGAAGCUACGACCUACAAGGUAGUUCAGGCAGUAGUUUUAACCUACCGUGUGGCACUCAGGACUUCACAAGCAAUUGAUCACCUUGACGCCAGAGACAUCAGAACCAGAUAGCUUUGCUCUAGCAGUGAUGUGAAUUUUGCUUACCUCCAUAAAACUCAGCCUAAGCACACAACCUAUGGCCGAACAGAAUCAAACUUUCACCGACAAAUGCAGAUAAACUGUCCUUUAUUUGAAGAAGACCUUGAUGCAAUAAUCAAAUCACUAUAAUUCUGCUGUGUUUCGUCUAAGAAAGCACUGAGUGUUUUUCUUCCUGUAAUAGUUGUUGGUAAUAGUUAAGUGUCUAAUGUUUUUUUACAUAAAAAUAUUUGAUCGUUAUAAAACAAAGGUUGUUUAUU
This is a long non-coding RNA of Daucus carota subsp. sativus, 1224 nucleotides long. RefSeq lists it as uncharacterized. The record is from RefSeq and is a predicted model, not a curated record. NCBI's taxonomy places the organism in Eukaryota, Viridiplantae, Streptophyta, Magnoliopsida, Apiales, Apiaceae. The transcript is spliced from 6 exons.